UGGGGAAUAUUGCACAAUGGGCGCAAGCCUGAUGUAGCCAUGCCGCGUGUGUGAAGAAGGCCUUCGGGUUGUAAAGCACUUUCAGCGGGGAGGAAGGCGUUAAGGUUAAUAACCUUGGCGAUUGACGUUACCCGCAGAAGAAGCACCGGCUAACUCCGUGCCAGCAGCCGCGGUAAUACGGAGGGUGCAAGCGUUAAUCGGAAUUACUGGGCGUAAAGCGCACGCAGGCGGUCUGUCAAGUCGGAUGUGAAAUCCCCGGGCUCAACCUGGGAACUGCAUUCGAAACUGGCAGGCUAGAGUCUUGUAGAGGGGGGUAGAAUUCCAGGUGUAGCGGUGAAAUGCGUAGAGAUCUGGAGGAAUACCGGUGGCGAAGGCGGCCCCCUGGACAAAGACUGACGCUCAGGUGCGAAAGCGUGGGGAGCAAACAGG
Molecule: ribosomal RNA, 429 nt
Filed under: Chloroflexota bacterium
Lineage: Bacteria; Bacillati; Chloroflexota
Description: Chloroflexi bacterium partial 16S ribosomal RNA
Rfam family: Bacterial small subunit ribosomal RNA
Source: RNAcentral